RNAcentral lists this long non-coding RNA (1564 nucleotides) under Olea europaea subsp. europaea. The record is from RNAcentral. Lineage: Eukaryota; Viridiplantae; Streptophyta; Magnoliopsida; Lamiales; Oleaceae.
GUAAAGAUCAACAGUAAAAGUUGCAGAAUUAAAUAGGGAAGUUCUAGAAUUUUCUCCAAUAAUAUCUGGUACAGAAAGCCUGUUCAUUCUCAUUCAUAAAGUAGACUUGGAACAUUAUAUGAGAUUAUAUUUCAGCCCUAAAUUUGUGUACUUUCACACCUAUUGGAUUCGAUACUAAAACACAUAAAUUAUAAACAUGUAUAUUUCAACAUUACAUCAUAGCUAGAAAAUAUACUGAAUUUUAUUUGACAGUUUAAUCUUUUGGAUGAGCCGUUGACCGGCAACAAGAAAAAUUAGCAAUACUAACUUCCUCUUCCUGUUGCUGCGAUGGCUGUUCUGCAAAUACCUGUGGAAGCUGCAAGAUGUUGAUUUCCAUGCAAAGCCUUGGCAAAUCAGCAGUCCUUGCUUUUUAUGCCUUAAUUUCAUCAUCUAUUCGCCCUUAAAGCUGUUUGAAUAUCUUGAUGAUUUACAGGCAUUAUUUUUUUUAGUUGUAAAAAUUUCUUUCCAAAAAACAGAAAUUGUUUCUUUUCUUGUUUCCUAUCAAUAUAAUAUUAAUUUAUAAACACACAUGUUUUUUAGUUGGCAAAUUACACAGCAAAUGCACGCAAGAAAUAUUUUUUUAAUAUAAAAGCAUUAUAUGGCAAAUAAUAUUGGGUAGGGAAGUUUCCAAGGUCCCCCUUUUUAAACCAAGGUACCUUAUGUUAACCCUAUAGCAUUUCCCCUUCAAAUAUUGAAAUCCCGAUUCGCCUUUUGUUGCAAUCCUAUGUUAGGUAUAGAGAGGGGAUUUUUCUGAACAUUAAUGAGUUAGCAGCAUAUUCAAGAGUAUGGUUUUGAGCCACCCUCAAAAUACCAUAAAAUUUGUUAUUUAAAAUGUGCAUUUUUCUGUUUAAAAGUUAUAUAAAUAACUAGUUGCAGCAAAAGGUUGUAUCAUGCAAAUUUUGAAGUUUGAAUUAGAUAUUUCUUUUCACCAGACUCUACAAAGUUUACUUUUCAGUUUCUUUCGAGAAAAUUUCUUUUCAUAAAAUUUCAGUCUUUUUGACCUAAAACUUCAAGAAUUUAAAAUUGAUGCUAUACCUAUUCAUUCUUUAUUCAUGUUUGUUUCAUCCAUAUUAUAGCUAUAAUACUUUGGGAAUCUUGGAAAAACACUGAAUUUCGAGAGCCAUAUAUGUUGAAGACUAAUAUAUUCCUAUCUGGACAAAGAUUCCCAGGAAAAAAAGAAAAAAAAAAAAAAAGGAAAAAUCAUUUGAAUGAACCAACUACUUGAAAAUCAUCUGAGGUUAAGUACAAGUAAGAUGCAUGAAACAUCAAACAAAUCCUUCCCUUUUCUUUCCCUUUCUUAAGGUACAAGGAAAAUCAACCAGAAAACUAUAUAUUUUUGAACCACUCACACUCAGCUUGUGAAGAUCAUAUGACCUAAUCAGAUUCUAUGAAACGAAGAUCAGAACACAUAUAGCUUUCUUCCCUCCAGGCGAGAAGGUAAGAAAUUAAACGAUAAAAAGCUAUGAAUUGUAUCUCGUAUCAGUCUAAUUAACAUAUGAAGUUUCUGCAUAUAUGAUGAGUUGUA